This 236-nucleotide ribosomal RNA is filed under the name uncultured bacterium. RNAcentral describes it as "partial 16S ribosomal RNA". It matches the Rfam family "Bacterial small subunit ribosomal RNA", at positions 100 to 334 of the family's 1533-position model. The record is from RNAcentral.
CGGGACGGGUGAGUAACGCGUGGGUAACCUGCCUCAUACAGGGGGAUAACAGCUAGAAAUGGCUGCUAAUACCGCAUAAGACCACAGUACUGCAUGGUACAGUGGUAAAAACUCCGGUGGUAUGAGAUGGACCCGCGUCUGAUUAGGUAGUUGGUGAGGUAACGGCCCACCAAGCCGACGAUCAGUAGCCGACCUGAGAGGGUGACCGGCCGCAUUGGGACUGAGACACGGCCCAG